UGAAUGCACUAACUGUAAGUCGCUCUGGAUAAGAGCGUCUGCUAAACUACUAAAA
Non-coding RNA from Salmo salar (Atlantic salmon), 55 nucleotides. NCBI's taxonomy places the organism in Eukaryota, Metazoa, Chordata, Actinopteri, Salmoniformes, Salmonidae. The record is from Rfam.